GGGCCCUUAGCUUAGUCUGGUUAGAGCGCCGAGCUCAUAACUCGGUGGUCGUUGGUUCGAAUCCGACAGGGCCCA
This 75-nucleotide transfer RNA is filed under the name Halohasta litchfieldiae. RNAcentral's name for it is "Halobacteriaceae archaeon tADL tRNA". It matches the Rfam family "tRNA". From Rfam's summary of the family: Transfer RNA (tRNA) molecules are approximately 80 nucleotides in length. Their secondary structure includes four short double-helical elements and three loops (D, anti-codon, and T loops). Further hydrogen bonds mediate the characteristic L-shaped molecular structure. tRNAs have two regions of fundamental functional importance: the anti-codon, which is responsible for specific mRNA codon recognition, and the 3' end, to which the tRNAs corresponding amino acid is attached (by aminoacyl-tRNA synthetases). tRNAs cope with the degeneracy of the genetic code in two manners: having more than one tRNA (with a specific anti-codon) for a particular amino acid; and 'wobble' base-pairing, i.e. permitting non-standard base-pairing at the 3rd anti-codon position. The record is from Rfam by way of RNAcentral. Lineage: Archaea; Methanobacteriati; Methanobacteriota; Halobacteria; Halobacteriales; Haloferacaceae.